CUUCAGAAGAAAUUCUUUCCCAUUGUACAUCUUCACUCAAACAGGACUUCCUGACAACAAUGAAACUACUAGUCCUAGUGAUGUACCUGAUUGGACUGUGUUCCUCCAUUCCUGUGACUAAGGAACAUGAUAUAGAGGAGCGCUUUUCAAGUAAUGAGGGGUACAAAGGUUUUGGGCGGUUAUAUCCCUAUUCUCGGUACCUCCAGAGUGACUCAAACCUGACAUCCCUGAAGCCUUUACUGUUGGCAAGACGGGCUGCUCUACCUCCUCUACCAGCCCUACCUGCCAUACCUCCCUUA
This is a long non-coding RNA of Esox lucius (northern pike), 299 nucleotides long. RefSeq lists it as uncharacterized. The transcript has 4 exons. Lineage: Eukaryota; Metazoa; Chordata; Actinopteri; Esociformes; Esocidae. The record is from RefSeq and is a predicted model, not a curated record.